UCAUCAGGCAUCUGUAUAGACAGCCUCGACUGGGCGAGGCCCCCCGGAGUCUCGCUUCCCUUCUGCCUUCCCCCUCCCCCCGCCCACUCGCCCGCCCGCCUCAAGCUCUGCUGCGGCGAGCGAGACUUCCUGGAAGGUUCUGUCAACCGAACUUGCUGCCUGGUCCCGCCCCCUGGCCUCAUGCGGAGGCCCUUCCUCAGACCGCCGUAGGGCUCUUUGGCCGCGGAGCGGAGCGAGCGUGUGGGCGUGGCUUGGUGGGCGCCGGAGGGAGGUUAGGUUGCACCGUCCAUGCUCGGCUGCCUUGUUCUCUCUCUCUCUCUCCCUGGGAGAGGGGAGGGGGGGCACGGGAGGGGGAAGGAAGGAAGGAAGGAGCGGCUCCUUCGAGGUGGGAUCGGGACCCUCAGAAAGCAGCUGUGUUCCUGUGCUGUUUACUUGGAAGUAAAUUCUGUUGGUGUUAGUAGGAUUUAAUCUCAGCCAGCUCUAGACGGGGGCCCUUCCUCCUUCAAGAGGCUUGGUCCUGCCCGAUCGGGACCCUAGGGAGAUAAUUUGGAAUCUCAUCCUGGGGAGAAGGAGCCCCGGCGCCCUCCUUGACUCGUCCAGGA
This 602-nucleotide long non-coding RNA is filed under the name Pogona vitticeps (central bearded dragon). RNAcentral's name for it is "lncRNA (ENSPVIG00000000203.1)". The record is from RNAcentral. Lineage: Eukaryota; Metazoa; Chordata; Lepidosauria; Squamata; Agamidae.